Molecule: ribosomal RNA, 453 nt
Filed under: uncultured bacterium
Lineage: Bacteria
Description: SSU rRNA
Rfam family: Bacterial small subunit ribosomal RNA
Source: RNAcentral
AGAACGAACGCUGGCGGCAGGCCUAACACAUGCAAGUCGAACGCCGUAGCAAUACGGAGUGGCAGACGGGUGAGUAACGCGUGGGAACAUACCCUUUGGUUCGGAAUAACUCAGGGAAACUUGAGCUAAUACCGGAUACGCCUCCGAGCGAUCGGGGGGAAAGAUUGAUUUGCCGAAGGAUUGGCCCGCGUCCGAUUAGCUGGUUGGUGGGGUAAUGGCUCACCAAGGCGACGAUCGGUAGCUGGUCUGAGAGGAUGAUCAGCCACAUUGGGACUGAGACACGGCCCAAACUCCUACGGGAGGCAGCAGUGGGGAAUAUUGGACAAUGGGCGCAAGCCUGAUCCAGCCAUGCCGCGUGAGUGAUGAAGGCCCUAGGGUUGUAAAGCUCUUUCGUCAGGGACGAUAAUGACGGUACCUGAAGAAGAAGCCCGGCUAACUCGUGCCAGCAGCCGC